UACGGAGGGUGCAAGCGUUACUCGGAAUCACUGGGCGUAAAGGACGCGUAGGCGGAUUAUCAAGUCUCUUGUGAAAUCCUAUGGCUUAACCAUAGAACUGCUUGGGAAACUGAUAAUCUAGAGUGAGGGAGAGGCAGAUGGAAUUGGUGGUGUAGGGGUAAAAUCCGUAGAGAUCACCAGGAAUACCCAUUGCGAAGGCGAUCUGCUGGAACUCAACUGACGCUAAUGCGUGAAAGCGUGGGGAG
RNAcentral lists this ribosomal RNA (245 nucleotides) under uncultured Campylobacter sp. RNAcentral describes it as "partial 16S ribosomal RNA". It matches the Rfam family "Bacterial small subunit ribosomal RNA", at positions 524 to 768 of the family's 1533-position model. Lineage: Bacteria; Pseudomonadati; Campylobacterota; Epsilonproteobacteria; Campylobacterales; Campylobacteraceae. The record is from RNAcentral.